GCACUGCUGAGGAGUGCCACAAUAGGACGAAACGGCCGUUCAGUGC
Non-coding RNA from Schistosoma margrebowiei, 46 nucleotides. The record is from Rfam. Lineage: Eukaryota; Metazoa; Platyhelminthes; Trematoda; Strigeidida; Schistosomatidae.